GGAAGGAUCAUUCACAAUGAGUGUUUUAUGGCACUCUUUAAAAAUCCAUAUCCACCUUGUGUGCAAUGUUUGUUGGGAGAGAGGCAACUCUUUCCCUUCACAAAUAUCAACCUAUAUUUUUAACAACAUUCGUCUGAUAACAUAUUAUGAAUAUACUUAAUUCAAAAUAUAACUUUCAACAACGGAUCUCUUGGCUCUCGCAUCGAUGAAGAACGCAGCGAAAUGCGAUACGUAAUGUGAAUUGCAGAAUUCAGUGAAUCAUCGAAUCUUUGAACGCAUAUUGCGCUCUUUGGUAUUCCGAAGAGCAUGCUUGUUUGAGUAUCAGUAAACACCUCAACCUCCUCUUGUUUUUUCAAAAGGAGGGUGGACUUGAGCUAUCCCAACAACCUUCACCGGUAGGCGGGCGGCUUGAAAUGCAGGUGCAGCUGGACUUUUAUCUGAGCUAAAAGCAUAUCUAUUUAGUCCUCGUCAAACAGGAUUAUUACUAUUGCUGCAGCUAACAUAAAGGAUAAUUGUCCUCAUUGCUGACUGAUGCAGGAUUUUACGACACUUUAUGUGUUGUUCAACUCGAUCUCAAAUCAAGUAAGACUACCCGCUGAACUUAAGCAUAUCAAUAAGCGGAGGAAAAGAAACUAACAAGGAUUCCCCUAGUAACGGCGAGUGAAGCGGGAUGAGCUCAAAUUUGAAAUCUGGCUGGUUUACUAGUCCGAGUUGUAAUUUAAAGAAGCGUUUUCGGUGGCAGCCUGGGUAUAAAUCCUUUGGAAUAGGGUAUCAUAGAGGGUGAGAAUCCCGUCUUUGACCUAGUGCAUGCUACUAUGUGAUACGUUUUCAAAGAGUCGAGUUGUUUGGGAAUGCAGCUCAAAAUGGGUGGUAAAUUUCAUCUAAAGCUAAAUAUUGGCGAGAGACCGAUAGCGAACAAGUACCGUGAGGGAAA
Molecule: ribosomal RNA, 934 nt
Filed under: uncultured fungus
Lineage: Eukaryota; Fungi
Description: eukaryotic LSU rRNA
Rfam family: Eukaryotic large subunit ribosomal RNA (bases 569-934)
Source: RNAcentral